Molecule: ribosomal RNA, 746 nt
Filed under: uncultured archaeon
Lineage: Archaea
Description: bacterial SSU rRNA
Rfam family: Archaeal small subunit ribosomal RNA
Source: RNAcentral
CCCCGGGAAACUGGGGCUAAUUCUCGAUAGGUGAAGAACUCUGGAAUGAGUCUUUGCCAAAAAGACGUUUACGUUAUGCUCGUAGGCGUUGCCCAAGGAUGAGGCCGCGACCGAUCAGGUUGUUGGUGAGGUAAUGGCUCACCAAGCCUUUUACCGGUGCGGGCCGUGAGAGCGGGAGCCCGGAGAUGGGCACUGAGACAAGGGCCCAGGCCCUACGGGGCGCAGCAGUCGCGAAAACUUUGCAAUACACGAAAGUGUGACAGGGCUAUCCCGAGUGCCAUCCGCUGAGGAAGGCUUUUACCCAGUCUAGAACGCUGGGGGAAUAAGGAGAGGGCAAGUCUGGUGUCAGCCGCCGCGGUAAUACCAGCUCUCCGAGUGGUGUGGAUGUUUAUUGGGCCUAAAGCAUCCGUAGCUGGCUGAGUUAGUCCCUUGUUAAAUCCACCGAAUUAAUCGUUGGAUUGCGGGGGAUACUGCUCGGCUAGGGGACGAGAGAGGCAGACGGUAUUUCUGGGGUAGGGGUGAAAUCCUAUAAUCCCAGGAGGACCACCAGUGGCGAAGGCUGUCUGCUAGAACGCGCCCGACGGUGAGGGAUGAAAGCUGGGGGAGCGAACCGGAUUAGAUACCCGGGUAGUCCCAGCUGUAAACGAUGCAGACUAGGUGUUUGGACGGCCACGUGCCGUUCUAGUGCCGCAGGGAAGCUGUUAAGUCUGCCGCCUGGGGAGUACGAUCGCAAGAUUGAAACUUAA